GAUCCUGAAACCGCAUGCAUACAAGCAGUGGGAGCACCUUCGUGGUGUGACUGCGUACCUUUUGUAUAAUGGGUCAGCGACUUAUAUUCAGUAGCGAGGUUAACCGUAUAGGGGAGCCGUAGAGAAAUCGAGUCUUAAUAGGGCGUUUAGUUGCUGGGUAUAGACCCGAAACCAGGCGAUCUAUCCAUGAGCAGGUUGAAGGUUGGGUAACACUAACUGGAGGACCGAACCCACUGUCGUUGAAAAGCCAGGGGAUGACUUGUGGAUAGGGGUGAAAGGCUAAUCAAGCCUGGUGAUAGCUGGUUCUCCCCGAAAGCUAUUUAGGUAGCGCCUCGGACGAAUACCAUAGGGGGUAGAGCACUGUUUCGGCUAGGGGGUCAUCCCGACUUACCAAACCGAUGCAAACUCCGAAUACCUAUGAGUACUAUCCGGGAGACAGACUGCGGGUGCUAACGUCCGUAGUCAAGAGGAAAACAAUCCAGACCGCCAGCUAAGGCCCCAAAAUCAUAGUUAAGUGGGAAACGAUGUGGGAAGGCAUAGACAGCUAGGAGGUUGGCUUAGAAGCAGCCACCCUUUAAAGAAAGCGUAAUAGCUCACUAGUCGAGUCGGCCUGCGCGGAAGAUGUAACGGGGCUAAAACUAUGUGCCGAAGCUGCGGAUGUAUACUUUGUAUACGUGGUAGGGGAGCGUUCUGUAAGCCGAUGAAGGUGUGUUGAGAAGCAUGCUGGAGGUAUCAGAAGUGCGAAUGCUGACGUGAGUAACGACAAAACGGGUGAAAAACCCGUUCGCCGAAAGACCAAGGGUUCCAGUCCAACGUUAAUCGGGGCUGGGUGAGUCGACCCCUAAGGCGAGGCCGAAAGGCGUAGUCGAUGGGAAAAUGGUUAAUAUUCCAUUACUUCUGUGUAAUGCGAUGAGAGGACGGAGAAGGCUAAAUCAGCCUGGCGUUGGUUGUCCAGGUGAAAGGAUGUAGGCAUGUAUCUUAGGCAAAUCCGGGGUACUCUAUGCUGAGAUCUGAUAGCAAGCUGUACUUGUACAGCGAAGUGGUUGAUGCCAUGCUUCCAGGAAAAGUCUCUAAGCUUCAGUUACACAGGAAUCGUACCCGAAACCGACACAGGUGGUCAGGUCGAGUAGACCAAGGCGCUUGAGAGAACUCUGCUGAAGGAACUAGGCAAAAUGGUACCGUAACUUCGGGAGAAGGUACGCUGUUGUUGGUGAUGGAACUCGCUUCCUGAGCUGACGACAGCCGCAGAAACCAGGCCGCUGCAACUGUUUAUUAAAAACAUAGCACUCUGCAAACACGAAAGUGGACGUAUAGGGUGUGAUGCCUGCCCGGUGCUGGAAGGUUAAUUGAUGGGGUUAGCGUAAGCGAAGCUCUUGAUCGAAGCCCCAGUAAACGGCGGCCGUAACUAUAACGGUCCUAAGGUAGCGAAAUUCCUUGUCGGGUAAGUUCCGACCUGCACGAAUGGCAUAAUGAUGGCGGCGCUGUCUCCAGCAGAGGCUCAGUGAAAUCGAAAUCGCUGUGAAGAUGCAGUGUACCCGCGGCUAGACGGAAAGACCCCGUGAACCUUUACUGCAGCUUGACACUGAACUUUGACCUUACUUGUGUAGGAUAGGUGGGAGGCUUUGAAGCUGGAACGCUAGUUCCAGUGGAGCCGUCCUUGAAAUACCACCCUGGUAAUGUUGAGGUUCUAACUCUGUCCCGUGAUCCGGGACGAGGACCGUGUCUGGUGGGUAGUUUGACUGGGGCGGUCUCCUCCUAAAGAGUAACGGAGGAGUACGAAGGUGCGCUCAGCGUGGUCGGAAAUCACGCGUAGAGUAUAAAGGCAAAAGCGCGCUUAACUGCGAGACCCACAAGUCGAGCAGGUACGAAAGUAGGUCUUAGUGAUCCGGUGGUUCUGUAUGGAAGGGCCAUCGCUCAACGGAUAAAAGGUACUCUGGGGAUAACAGGCUGAUACCGCCCAAGAGUUCAUAUCGACGGCGGUGUUUGGCACCUCGAUGUCGGCUCAUCUCAUCCUGGGGCUGAAGCAGGUCCCAAGGGUAUGGCUGUUCGCCAUUUAAAGAGGUACGCGAGCUGGGUUUAGAACGUCGUGAGACAGUUCGGUCCCUAUCUACCGUGGGCGCUGGAAAUUUGAGAGGAUCUGCUCCUAGUACGAGAGGACCAGAGUGGACGAACCUCUGGUGUACCGGUUGUGACGCCAGUCGCAUCGCCGGGUAGCUAUGUUCGGAAGGGAUAACCGCUGAAAGCAUCUAAGCGGGAAGCCUACCUCAAGAUAAGAUUUCCCUAGGACUUUAUGUCCUCUAAAGAGCCGUUCGAGACUAGGACGUUGAUAGGUUGGAUGUGGAAGCAUAGUGAUAUGUGAAGCUGACCAAUACUAAUUGCUCGUGAGGCUUGACUAU
This 2396-nucleotide ribosomal RNA is filed under the name Acinetobacter baumannii. RNAcentral's name for it is "partial 23S ribosomal RNA". It matches the Rfam family "Bacterial large subunit ribosomal RNA", at positions 546 to 2925 of the family's 2925-position model. The record is from RNAcentral. RNAcentral also lists the same sequence under 1 other name. Lineage: Bacteria; Pseudomonadati; Pseudomonadota; Gammaproteobacteria; Moraxellales; Moraxellaceae.